UAAAAUUUAGUUUAAUAAAAAUUUUUUAUUUACAUUAAAAGGAUUUAAUUAAUUUUAAAAUUUUAA
RNAcentral lists this transfer RNA (66 nucleotides) under Megalyra sp. MM-2014. RNAcentral describes it as "tRNA-Val". Lineage: Eukaryota; Metazoa; Arthropoda; Insecta; Hymenoptera; Megalyridae. The record is from RNAcentral.